CCUACGGGAGGCAGCAGUGGGGAAUCUUGCGCAAUGGGCGAAAGCCUGACGCAGCAACGCCGCGUGCGGGAAGAAGGCUUUCGGGCUGUAAACCGCUUUCAGCAGGAACGAAAAUGACGGUACCUGCAGAAGAAGGAGCGGCCAACUAUGUGCCAGCAGCCGCGGUGAUACAUAGGCUUCAAGCGUUGUCCGGAUUUAUUGGGCGUAAAGAGUUCGUAGGCGGUCGAGUAAGUCGGGUGUGAAAAUUCUGGGCUCAACCCAGAGACGCCACCCGAUACUGCUUGACUUGAGUUCGAUAGGGGAGUGGGGAAUUCCUAGUGUAGCGGUGAAAUGCGCAGAUAUUAGGAGGAACACCGGUGGCGAAGGCGCCACUCUGGAUCGAUACUGACGCUGAGGAACGAAAGCAUGGGUAGCAAACAGGAUUAGAUACCCUGGUAGUCCAUGCCGUAAACGGUGGGCACUAGGUGUGGGUUUCUAUUAACGAAAUCCGCGCCGUCGCUAACGCAUUAAGUGCCCCGCCUGGGGAGUACGGUCGCAAGACUAAAACUCAAANANAUGCG
This 560-nucleotide ribosomal RNA is filed under the name uncultured bacterium. RNAcentral describes it as "bacterial SSU rRNA". It matches the Rfam family "Bacterial small subunit ribosomal RNA", at positions 338 to 913 of the family's 1533-position model. The record is from RNAcentral.